This 524-nucleotide ribosomal RNA is filed under the name uncultured bacterium. RNAcentral describes it as "partial 16S ribosomal RNA". It matches the Rfam family "Bacterial small subunit ribosomal RNA", at positions 28 to 523 of the family's 1533-position model. The record is from RNAcentral.
GACGAACGCUGGCGGCGUGCCUAAUACAUGCAAGUCGAACGAAGCUGUUUUAACUGGUGCUUGCACCGACUUAAACAACUGAGUGGCGAACGGGUGAGUAACACGUGGGUAACCUGCCCCAAAGCGGGGGAUAACAUUUGGAACCAGAUGCUAAUACCGCAUAACCACAGAAACCACAUGGUUUCUGUGUCAAAGAUGGUUUCGGCUAUCACUUUGGGAUGGACCCGCGGCGUAUUAGCUAGUUGGUAAGGUAAUGGCUUACCAAGGCAAUGAUACGUAGCCGAACUGAGAGGUUGAUCGGCCACAUUGGGACUGAGACACGGCCCAAACGCCUACGGGAGGCAGCAGUAGGGAAUCUUCCACAAUGGACGAAAGUCUGACGGAGCAACGCCGCGUGAGUGAAGAAGGUUUUCGGAUCGUAAAACUCUGUUGUCAGAGAAGAACGUGUGCGAGAGUAACUGUUCGUGCAGUGACGGUAUCUGGCCAGAAAGCCACGGCUAACUACGUGCCAGCAGCCGCAGUAA